GCGCAUAACAUACAGUGCAUUUGACAAUGUCAACUGAAGCCUUUACAGUGAUGUGGAGAAAUGAAACAGGAGGAAGUUCUCAAUUGUCCCUCAUGGUUAGUUAUCUCAUGAUUCAAAUUAACUCAGGCAGCAAAUCAGAUUACAAACAUCUGUUGAUUUUUUCUGGAUUACUUUGUUACACCAUAUUAAUGAUGUCCAGUAAUGGUGAACCUGCAGGUACAGGAGCAUACGUAUGGACUCAUAACUGGGAACGGCUAAAGACCUGAUAAAGGCCUAAUUAACCAGCAGGCUAAAGCUCCAGAUGGUGACAUUUCUGCAGAAUCUAACAUGGAAACGAUGAUUUCAUGACUUAAGAAACAGAAACAAACUAUUAUAAUAACAUGGCCG
Molecule: long non-coding RNA, 387 nt
Filed under: Elaeis guineensis (African oil palm)
Lineage: Eukaryota; Viridiplantae; Streptophyta; Magnoliopsida; Arecales; Arecaceae
Description: long non-coding RNA (EGUI_LNC013668)
Source: RNAcentral